This is an RNA transcript of Paramacrobiotus metropolitanus, 934 nucleotides long. RefSeq lists it as uncharacterized. The transcript has 3 exons. The record is from RefSeq and is a predicted model, not a curated record. NCBI's taxonomy places the organism in Eukaryota, Metazoa, Tardigrada, Eutardigrada, Parachela, Macrobiotidae.
UCAAAAAGUUAUUCUUUUGGUCUAGAGGCGGCGCUAGCGAGUCUUUACACCUUGAGUAUGCAGUGUAUAAUGUGCGGUACAAAGUUUAUAACUCUCCAGUAAAACGUUACGUACGCAAGCGAAUGUUUAUUUCCCCCAUGUGCGAGGGCUUCAUGAUAACAACCUCCGCAGAAUUGCAUUCUAUGCAGUUAUGUACUUCCCUGUCCGCAUCACAAAUCUAUAACUAACCAGACAUGCCUGCUUAUCGGCUGUGGCAGCGUCUCCCAUACCGUAAAACCGUUAUCCGGCAAUCGGGUGCGCACCGUAGAAGUUCUGGAGGAUGAACCAGUGACCCUUGAAUGUUCUAACGCUGCACAGCCUUUUAUGGAGCUCAGAUCCGCUUUAUUUAUGGAAAGCUACAAAUAUGAUACAUCCAAGGGAACAUGCGGCAUUAAUCCCGCAUUCUGCCAACCCAGUUCCAACUUACUCCGGGCACCGGAAGGGAUGGCGGAUUUAUUUAGUAUCUGCUUUAACAAUAGCACCUGCACCUUGUCUUUUACUAAAGCCGAUCGACAAGCUAUGGGCUUCUGUGGAUUGACCGUACCCAUGCGAUUGGUAGUCACCUUUAGAUGCUCUGAUAAAAGGGUUGGAUUUCCGGAGGCAGAAGAGAAAGAACAAAACUCUGCAGGUGACAGCAUCUCGUGCCUCACAAACUCAAGGUUGAAAAAAUUUUGCGGGCGCUGAAUUCGAUGAACCACAGCUGACAAUGACGCGAUCAUUCGCUGUAACUUGAUCAGAAGUAUUGGAGCAAGCCAGUUGCAGCUUGGGCUCUUAGAAACUAACAGUUUCAAAAUGACACGGCUCUUUUUCGGUUUCUACGGAUUAGGUAGUGGCAUUUCUUGAAUAGUAAACUUUACUUUAAACUUCCAUGGAACGUAUUAUGUGCGUUUGAUAG